GAAUUAUCCAUUAAACAAAAAUAUUUUCAUUCAAAUCCAACCUUCCUAAAACAUAAUUCGACAACAUUUUUCCUCGAUCUUACAGCCUUCUUUAUUCCUCAAUAAAUUCACUAACCGUUACAAUUUUUAACCAAUUAUUCAGCAUAAAUUCUAUCAUCCCAUUUACAAUUAUUCCUCAAUAAACACAUUCACAAUUCUUCUCACAAACAACCUUGCUUCUUUCAUUGAACAAUUUCGUUUUUUACCCUUUGUUUUCCUUUAUUUUUCCUCCCCUAUUCUUCUAUUUUUCCAUGGCAUCGAUACCUCUUAUUACCAAAACAACAUCCAAACCUCCUAUAACCAACACAACUAUUCCAAAGAAUGCUCGCGGAAAUAAAUCGGAUCCGGCAUAGAAACACUGUUUUCCUAUUCCGGACAAAAAAAAGGUGGAAGUGAAACUAUUGUGGGGAAGAGUUUAGUGGAGGAGUUUAUCGACUCAAAUAUCAUUUAGUUGGUACUAGUAAGAACGUGAAGCCUUGCAAAGCUGUUUCAGAUGAAGUUAAGAAGGGAAUAAUGACGGUUGUUGUUGAUUUGCAAACUAAGCUAAUUAAGAAAUCAAUUUUGUAUGACAUUGAAGAGCCUAAUAGUGUCGGUGGAUCAUCCAGCUUUAUUGCAAAAAGAAAAAGUGAAGAACGGAUUUUGAACUCCACAAAUAUGUUUAAGAAACGUGGAGUAAUGUAAUUCCAUUAAAUGUCACUAACAGUGAAAAAUGGAAUCAUAUGUUUGAACUUGUUGCUGAACAUGGUCCAGGAUUUAAACCACCAUCCAGUUAUGAGGUUCGAGGGAAAUAUUUAAAUCAUCACUAGAACAAGAUCAAUGAUGAUUUAGAUGAACAUAAGGUUGUUUGAAAGAAGUUAGGAUGCACCGUAAUGACUUAUGGAUGGACCGAUAAAAGGAGAAGGACCAUACUUAAUUUUUUGGUGAAUGUUUUCUAUUGAUGCAUCGAACAUAAGCAAGACUGCAGACAAGGUAUUUAAGAUGAUUAAUGAUGUUGUCGAGGAAGUUGAGGAGGAUAAUAUUGUCCAAAUUGUUACAGACAAUGCAGUGAAUUACAAAGCAGCCGGAGAUUUGUUAAUGCAAAAGCGGAAGCAGCUGUAUUGGACACAUUGUGUUGCAUAUUGUAUCGACUUAAUGUUAGACGAUUUAGAAAACAAGAUCACACUGCACAAAGAGGCGAUUUUAAGAGGUAAGAGGAUCACAACCUCUAUUUAUGCAAUAACAGGUAUAAUUUCAUUAUUGCAUAAAUUUACUAAAGAUUGUGAUUGAUUCGACUCGGCCUAACUCGCUUUGCCACUUCAUAUUUGACUUUGGGCUGUUUGUAUGAAAAUAUGGCAUCGCUAAAAAACAUGUUUACAUCCAACGAAUGAAAUUCUAGUAAACUUGCAAAGAGUAGUGAUGAGAUCAUUGUGGAAUGUUUGGUUACUGAUAAGAAAUUUUGGAAAGAUGUUAUGUAUUACAUAAGGGGUGUUUUCCCCCUAAUUAGGGUGCUUCGCAUGGUGGAUUCAGAUGAGAAACUAGCCAUGGAUUACAUUUAUGAAGAGAUGGACCAAGCAAAAGAAAGGAUUUGAUCAGACUUAAAAUUAAGGAGUUGGUAGAAGCUACAAACCGAUAUCGAAAAUUAUUGAUGAAAGAUGGGAUAAACAACUACAUCGGCCAUUGCAUGCUGCUGGAAAUUUUCUUAACCCAAUCUUACAUUAUGCUCCUGAAUACACUAGUGAUAAUGAAGUUGUAGAAGGGAUGUAUGAAUGUUUGAAUAGAAUGGUGCCAGACUUAGAAAAGCGCUCUAAGAUUGAUUACCAACUAGAAAACUUCAAAGAAAAUGAUGGAAGCUUUGGUAGUGAUUUAGCCAUGCUCGCACUUAAAGCAAAAUACCAACACAAUGGUGGGGAUCUUAUGCUCGUGUUGAGUUUAACUUGCAGUUCAUCUGGUUGUGAAAGGAAUUGGAGUGUCUUUGAAAGAGUCCACACAAAAAUAAAUCGUUUAAAGCAAAAGACAAUGAAUGAUGUUGUUUUUGGGCAAAAAGAAGGAAACUAGGAAAUCAUCUUAUAACUUUUAUAAAGAUAUUUCAUGUGAAGAUGAAUGGCAAGAGGAUAGAGAUGGUAAUGAUCGUAUAGAUGAAGACGUCAUGCUUAAUGUUGGAGAAAAUGUUCCUAUUGGUGGUGUUGGAGAUGAUUUGGAUGUUCCUCCUAGUCUUUUUAAUGUUGAUCAUUCGGUUGAUGAAUAAUUAGAAGAGAAUAAAGAUGAAGAAAUAGAAUAGAAUGAAGACGAAAAUGGUGAUGAA
Vicia villosa (hairy vetch) is the source of this 2320-nucleotide long non-coding RNA. RefSeq lists it as uncharacterized. The transcript is spliced from 3 exons. The record is from RefSeq and is a predicted model, not a curated record. NCBI's taxonomy places the organism in Eukaryota, Viridiplantae, Streptophyta, Magnoliopsida, Fabales, Fabaceae.